RNAcentral lists this transfer RNA (72 nucleotides) under Nippostrongylus brasiliensis. It matches the Rfam family "tRNA". Rfam says of the family: Transfer RNA (tRNA) molecules are approximately 80 nucleotides in length. Their secondary structure includes four short double-helical elements and three loops (D, anti-codon, and T loops). Further hydrogen bonds mediate the characteristic L-shaped molecular structure. tRNAs have two regions of fundamental functional importance: the anti-codon, which is responsible for specific mRNA codon recognition, and the 3' end, to which the tRNAs corresponding amino acid is attached (by aminoacyl-tRNA synthetases). tRNAs cope with the degeneracy of the genetic code in two manners: having more than one tRNA (with a specific anti-codon) for a particular amino acid; and 'wobble' base-pairing, i.e. permitting non-standard base-pairing at the 3rd anti-codon position. Lineage: Eukaryota; Metazoa; Nematoda; Chromadorea; Rhabditida; Heligmosomidae. The record is from Rfam by way of RNAcentral.
GUCUCAGUAGCAUAGUGGUUAGUGAACAGGCACGGAUAGGUUGAGACGCGGGUUCGAAUCCCGCUUGAAAUG